AGCUUUGUGCAGUGGCAGUAUUGUAGCCAAUGAGGUUUAUCCAAGGUGCGAUUAUUGCUAAUUGAAAACAACAGGAAUAGAGCCCCUUCUAGAUCCGGGGGCCAGAAGUCCAGAAUCAGGGCGUCAGCAGGAUUGUUUCCUUCUGGAG
Molecule: small nuclear RNA, 148 nt
Organism: Mirounga angustirostris (Northern elephant seal)
Lineage: Eukaryota; Metazoa; Chordata; Mammalia; Carnivora; Phocidae
Product: U4 spliceosomal RNA
Exons: 1
Source: RefSeq, a predicted model, not a curated record